RNAcentral lists this ribosomal RNA (253 nucleotides) under uncultured archaeon. RNAcentral describes it as "partial 16S ribosomal RNA". It matches the Rfam family "Archaeal small subunit ribosomal RNA", at positions 474 to 726 of the family's 1478-position model. The record is from RNAcentral.
CACCGGCGCCACAAGUGGGGAUCAGCAUUAUUGGGCCUAAAGCGUCCGUAGCCUGUCAUGUAAAUCUCAUGUGAAAUUGUUGCGCUCAACGUAACAACGUGCACGAGACACUGCAAGACUUGGAACCGGGAGGAGUAAGAGGUAUUCUUGGGGGAGCGGUAAAAUGUUAUAAUCCCAAGAGGACCACCUGUGGCGAAGGCGUCUUACUAGAACGGCUUCGACGGUGAGGGACGAAAGCUAGGGGAGCAAACCG